CCUACGGGUGGCUGCAGUGGGGGAUAUUGCACAAUGGGGGAAACCCUGAUGCAGCGACGCCGCGUGUGGGAAGACGGUCCUCUGGAUUGUAAACCACUGUCCCCAGGGACGAAGAUGACGGUACCUGGGGAGGAAGCUCCGGCUAACUACGUGCCAGCAGCCGCGGUAAUACGUAGGGAGCAAGCGUUGUCCGGAAUUACUGGGUGAAAGGGGAGCGUAGGCGGGAUGGCAAGUUGGGGGUUAAAUCUACCGGCUCAACUGGUAGUCGCACUCAAAACUGCUAUUCUUGAGUGAAGUAGAGGCAGGCGGAAUUCCUAGUGUAGCGGUGAAAUGCGUAGAUAUUAGGAGGAACACCAGUGGCGAAGGCGGCCUGCUGGGCUUUUACUGACGCUGAGGCUCGAAAGUGUGGGGAGCAAACAGGAUUAGAUACCCUGGUAGUC
This 440-nucleotide ribosomal RNA is filed under the name uncultured bacterium. RNAcentral's name for it is "partial 16S ribosomal RNA". It matches the Rfam family "Bacterial small subunit ribosomal RNA", at positions 338 to 795 of the family's 1533-position model. The record is from RNAcentral.